GGUCGGAAGUUCAAGUCUUCCAGGCCCACCACUUUCAUCGAGUGAGCAUUCGUCUUCUGGUUACGGGGCCAUAGCUCAGCUGGGAGAGCGCGUGCUUUGCAAGCAUGAGGUCGUCGGUUCGAUCCCGUCUGGCUCCACCAGAUGGUUUGAUCACCGAGGUCAUGCACCGUCGUCCGCGAAACAUCACUUCGCAUCCUGCCAGUCUGGAUAGACGGCAGGUUGCGUGAUUUCUGACAUCGUAAAGAGGAGAUCGAUCCGAGUUGGGUCGUGCAGCAGGUUGUUGCGCGUAUCCUUCAUUAUCUCCGGAUCAUUUUCGGCGCUCGAGGCUGACCGCAAGGUUGGCUCUCGAGUUGUAAAAUGAUCCUUUUAGCGAAGCUUGACCGCCUCGCUAUCGGAACGAUCUUACGAAGCAAGCUGGUCUUUCUAGUCAAUGUCCGGCUGUACGUAGCGUUCAUCGAGGGCGCGCGCCGCAAGGCAAUCGUACAGACAACAUUCUGCCGAGUGUGUGGACAUUGAUAAUGAGAGC
Molecule: transfer RNA, 526 nt
Filed under: Bradyrhizobium sp. AH12c
Lineage: Bacteria; Pseudomonadati; Pseudomonadota; Alphaproteobacteria; Hyphomicrobiales; Nitrobacteraceae
Description: partial 16S-23S ribosomal RNA intergenic spacer
Rfam family: tRNA (bases 65-137)
Source: RNAcentral